GCCGUGAUGGUAUAGUGGUUAGUACAUUGCGUUGUGGCCGCAAUAACCCAGGUUCGAAUCCUAAUCAUUUUA
Molecule: non-coding RNA, 72 nt
Organism: Nematostella vectensis (starlet sea anemone)
Lineage: Eukaryota; Metazoa; Cnidaria; Anthozoa; Actiniaria; Edwardsiidae
Source: Rfam